Molecule: long non-coding RNA, 1036 nt
Filed under: Mustela putorius furo (domestic ferret)
Lineage: Eukaryota; Metazoa; Chordata; Mammalia; Carnivora; Mustelidae
Description: lncRNA (ENSMPUG00000028153.1)
Source: RNAcentral
UGUGUAAUUCAAUCAAUAUUUAAAGCAAAAAAAGGAACAAUAUCACUUUUUAUUUUUUUAGAUUUUAUUUUUUUAUUUGAGAGAGUGAGAGCACAAGAGAGAAAGAGAGAGAGAGAGAGAGAGAGAGAGAGAGAGAACGCAAGCAGGGGGGAGUGGCAGGUCAGCCCAGAGUGGGACUCCAUCCCAUGAUCUUGGGAUCAUGACCUGAGCCGAGGACAGACGCUUAACUGAGUGAGCUAUCCAGGUACCUGAUAAUAACACAAAUAUUUAAAAAAUCGAUAAUCUAUUUAUAUGAGAAUAUUGAUAAAAUAGGUAAAGUAGAAAAUAUGCAUAUGGUGUUUCUUUUGCUUUCUGUCCUUAUUUGUGAUCCAUUGGCCUUUUCAUGAGUAAUGAAACAGUGUGAUGGUCUCUAAAUAUAGGCUCAAAGGAUGCUGGCCUUAAGAGGUCACGUUUGUUUCCACAGCUCUUUAAGUUGGACCUGUGAUUUGCUCUGCCCACAGAAUGCAGCGGAAGUGAUGCUGUUCCGGUUCUAACACUAGGCCUUGAGAAAUCUCCAAGCUUCCAUCCUCAUUCUAGGAAUUAUGAUGGAGAGUGAAAAUCCAUGUGGAAAGGGGCCCCCCGCUGUGUCUGCCUUCUCAGCCACCACAGCUGAGGCUCAUACGUGUGUGUGAACCCGGAUAAGAAUAGGGGUCCCUCCGCAGGGUGGCUCGCAUACCUGGAGUGUUUGUAUUUGGUGGACAACUCUUUCUACUUCAGAUCUCUUAUUCACUGGUACAUACCUCCUAGGAGUAAGGGUGAGUUCCAGUUCCAGCCCCCAGUCCAUGUCUGGAAGCUCCAUUCCCUCCGCCUCUGGCCAUGGUGCCCUCUUUGCUUUGUGAUUUCAGUGUCCUCAUUUUUCAAGAUCCUCUUUCCCAUGUGGCUCAUCUCAAAGCUCCCAGCCCUUCCCCUAAGACUUCAGUAUACCUGGAACCUAAUUGUGGUCAGGCUUAAAAUCUUGCCUCUCCAUGGGGCCCCACUUCCUACUCCAUGCAAAGCC